CCGGAACUACGGAAUAACAUGAAGAAAUUUAUGCUAAUACCGUAUACGCCCUUUUGGGGAAAGAUUUAUUGGUUUCGGAUGAGCCCGCGUUGGAUUAGCUUGUUGGUAGGGUAAUGGCCUACCAAGGCGACGAUCCAUAGCUGGUCUGAGAGGAUGAUCAGCCACACUGGGACUGAGACACGGCCCAGACUCCUACGGGAGGCAGCAGUGGGGAAUAUUGGACAAUGGGCGCAAGCCUGAUCCAGCCAUGCCGCGUGAGUGAUGAAGGCCUUAGGGUUGUAAAGCUCUUUCACCGGUGAAGAUAAUGACGGUAACCGGAGAAGAAGCCCCGGCUAACUUCGUGCCAGCAGCCGCGGUAAUACGAAGGGGGCUAGCGUUGUUCGGAUUUACUGGGCGUAAAGCGCACGCAGGCGGAUAUUUAAGUCAGAGGUGAAAUCCCGGGGCUCAACCCUGGAAUUGCCUUUGAUACUGGGUAUCUGGAGUACAGAAGAGGUAAGUGGAAUUCCGAGUGUAGAGGUG
Molecule: ribosomal RNA, 519 nt
Filed under: uncultured Wolbachia sp.
Lineage: Bacteria; Pseudomonadati; Pseudomonadota; Alphaproteobacteria; Rickettsiales; Anaplasmataceae
Description: bacterial SSU rRNA
Rfam family: Bacterial small subunit ribosomal RNA
Source: RNAcentral